This 1294-nucleotide ribosomal RNA is filed under the name Diaporthe citri. Its description in RNAcentral is "partial large subunit ribosomal RNA". It matches the Rfam family "Eukaryotic large subunit ribosomal RNA", at positions 71 to 1397 of the family's 3401-position model. The record is from RNAcentral. Lineage: Eukaryota; Fungi; Ascomycota; Sordariomycetes; Diaporthales; Diaporthaceae.
GGGAUUGCCCUAGUAACGGCGAGUGAAGCGGCAACAGCUCAAAUUUGAAAUCUGGCCUAGGCCCGAGUUGUAAUUUGCAGAGGAUGCUUCUGGCGCGGUGCCUUCCGAGUUCCCUGGAACGGGACGCCACAGAGGGUGAGAGCCCCGUAUGGUCGGACACCAAGCCUGUGUGAAGCUCCUUCGACGAGUCGAGUAGUUUGGGAAUGCUGCUCUAAAUGGGAGGUAAAUCUCUUCUAAAGCUAAAUACCGGCCAGAGACCGAUAGCGCACAAGUAGAGUGAUCGAAAGAUGAAAAGCACCUUGAAAAGGGGGUUAAAUAGUACGUGAAAUUGUUGAAAGGGAAGCACUUAUGACCAGACUUGGGCCGGGCGGCUCAUCAGGGGUUCUCCCCUGUGCACUCCGCCCGGCACAGGCCAGCAUCGGUUCUCGUGGGGGGAUAAGACCGUCAGGAACGUAGCACCCUCCGGGGUGUGUUAUAGCCUGGCGGACGAUACCCCCGCGGGGACCGAGGUCCGCGCUCCGCAAGGAUGCUGGCGUAAUGGUCAUCAGUGACCCGUCUUGAAACACGGACCAAGGAGUCGUCCAUUAGAGCGAGCGUUUGGGUGUAAAACCCGCACGCGUAAUGAAAGUGAACGCAGGUGAGAGCUUCGGCGCAUCAUCGACCGAUCCUGAUGUUCUCGGAAGGAUUUGAGUAAGAGUUUUAACGGACGGACCCGAAAGACAGUGAACUAUGCUUGUAUAGGGUGAAGCCAGAGGAAACUCUGGUGGAGGCUCGCAGCGGUUCUGACGUGCAAAUCGAUCGUCAAAUAUGAGCAUGGGGGCGAAAGACUAAUCGAACUGUCUAGUAGCUGGUUACCGCCGAAGUUUCCCUCAGGAUAGCAGUGUUGAUCUUCAGUUUUAUGAGGUAAAGCGAAUGAUUAGGGACUCGGGGGCUAUAUAUUGCCUUCAUCCAUUCUCAAACUUUAAAUAUGUAAGAAGCCCUUGUUACUUAGUUGAACGUGGGCAUUCGAAUGUACCAACACUAGUGGGCCAUUUUUGGUAAGCAGAACUGGCGAUGCGGGAUGAACCGAACGCGGGGUUAAGGCGCCAGAGUGUACGCUCAUCAGACACCACAAAAGGCGUUAGUACAUCUUGACAGCAGGACGGUGGCCAUGGAAGUCGGAAUCCGCUAAGGACUGUGUAACAACUCACCUGCCGAAUGUACUAGCCCUGAAAAUGGAUGGCGCUCAAGCGUACCGCCCAUACCCCGCCCCCAGGGUAGAAACGAUGCCCUGGGGAGUAGGCGGCCGUGGGGG